AUAUGCUUGUCUCAAAGAUUAAGCCAUGCAUGUUUAAGCAGAAGCCGCACAACGGUAAAGCCGCGAAUGGCUCAUUACAACAGCCGUCGUUUCUUGGAUCUCUAAAUUUACUUGGAUAACUGUGGUAAUUCUAGAGCUAAUACACGCACUAAAGCUCUGACCUUACGGGACGAGCGCAUUUAUUAGAACAAAACCAAUCGGGUUUCGGCCCGUUCGUUGGUGACUCUGAAUAACUCUGCCGAUCGCACGGUCUCGCACGGCGACGUAUCUUUCAAGUGUCUGCCUUAUCAACUUUCGAUGGUAGUUUAUGUGCCUACCAUGGUUGUAACGGGUAACGGAGAAUAAGGGUUCGACUCCGGAGAGGGAGCCUGAGAAACGGCUACCACAUCCAAGGAAGGCAGCAGGCGCGCAAAUUACCCACUCUCGGCACGAGGAGGUAGUGACGAAAAAUAACGAGACGGAUCUCUUUGAGGCCCGUUAUCGGAAUGAGAACAAUUCAAAUCCUUUAACGAGGAUCUAGCGGAGGGCAAGUCUGGUGCCAGCAGCCGCGGUAAUUCCAGCUCCGCAGGUGUAUAUCUAUGCUGCUGCGGUUAAAAAAGCUCGUAGUUGGAUCUGCGUGCUCGGAACUGGUUGGCUCAUUGAGCUCAUACUGGUCUCCGGCGCUUUAUUGGCUGGUUUUCCCUUGAUGCUCUUAACCGGGUGUCUUGGGUGGCUAGCACGUUUACUUUGAAAAAAUUAGAGUGCUCAAUACAGGCGCAAAGCCUUGAAUAGUGGUGCAUGGAAUAAUAGAAUAGGACCUCGGCUCUAUUUUGUUGGUUUUCGGAACGCGGGGUAAUGAUUAAGAGGGACAGACGGGGGCAUUCGUAUUGCGACGUUAGAGGUGAAAUUCUUGGAUCGUCGCAAGACGGACGACUGCGAAAGCAUUUGCCAAGAAUGUUUUCAUUAAUCAAGAACGAAAGUUAGAGGUUCGAAGGCGAUCAGAUACCGCCCUAGUUCUAACCGUAAACGAUGCCAACUAGCGAUUCGCAGGCGUUAAACAACGACCUUGCGGGCAGCUUCCCGGAAACGAAAGUGUUCGGGUUCCGGGGGAAGUAUGGUUGCAAAGCUGAAACUUAAAGGAAUUGACGGAAGGGCACCACCAGGAGUGGAGCCUGCGGCUUAAUUUGACCCAACACGGGAAAACUCACCCGGCCCGGACACCGUAAGGAUUGACAGAUUGAGAGCUCUUUCUUGAUUCGGUGGGUGGUGGCGCAUGGCCGUUCUUAGUUGGUGGAGCGAUUUGUCUGGUUUAUUCCGAUAAC
This 1301-nucleotide ribosomal RNA is filed under the name metagenome. RNAcentral describes it as "SSU rRNA". It matches the Rfam family "Eukaryotic small subunit ribosomal RNA", at positions 26 to 1332 of the family's 1831-position model. The record is from RNAcentral.